GACGAACGCUGGCGGCGUGCUUAACACAUGCAAGUCGAACGGAAAGGCCCUGCUUUUGUGGGGUGCUCGAGUGGCGAACGGGUGAGUAACACGUGAGUAACCUGCCCUUGACUUUGGGAUAACUUCAGGAAACUGGGGCUAAUACCGGAUAGGAGCUCCUGCUGCAUGGUGGGGGUUGGAAAGUUUCGGCGGUUGGGGAAGGACUCGCGGCUUAUCAGCUUGUUGGUGGGGUAGUGGCUUACCAAGGCUUUGACGGGUAGCCGGCCUGAGAGGGUGACCGGCCACAUUGGGACUGAGAUACGGCCCAGACUCCUACGGGAGGCAGCAGUGGGGAAUAUUGCACAAUGGGCGGAAGCCUGAUGCAGCAACGCCGCGUGCGGGAUGACGGCCUUCGGGUUGUAAACCGCUUUCGCCUGUGACGAAGCGUGAGUGACGGUAAUGGGUAAAGAAGCACCGGCUAACUACGUG
This 468-nucleotide ribosomal RNA is filed under the name uncultured bacterium. Its description in RNAcentral is "partial 16S ribosomal RNA". It matches the Rfam family "Bacterial small subunit ribosomal RNA", at positions 28 to 507 of the family's 1533-position model. The record is from RNAcentral.